Molecule: ribosomal RNA, 304 nt
Filed under: uncultured bacterium
Lineage: Bacteria
Description: partial 16S ribosomal RNA
Rfam family: Bacterial small subunit ribosomal RNA
Source: RNAcentral
CAGCAGCCGCCGCGGUAACACGGAGGGGGCUAGCGUUGUUCGGAAUUACUGGGCGUAAAGCGUACGUAGGCGGCUUGGUAAGUUAGAGGUGAAAGCCCGGAGCUCAACUCCGGAAUUGCCUUUAAGACUGCCGAGCUAGUAGGUGAGAGAGGUAAGUGGAAUUCCGAGUGUAGAGGUGAAAUUCGUAGAUAUUCGGAAGAACACCAGUGGCGAAGGCGGCUUACUGGCUCAUUCUAGACGCUGAGGUGCGAAAGCGUGGGGAGCAAACAGGAUUAGAUACCCGAGUAGUCCCUGUCUCUUAUAC